RNAcentral lists this ribosomal RNA (497 nucleotides) under uncultured bacterium. RNAcentral describes it as "partial 16S ribosomal RNA". It matches the Rfam family "Bacterial small subunit ribosomal RNA", at positions 28 to 507 of the family's 1533-position model. The record is from RNAcentral.
GACGAACGCUGGCGGCGUGCCUAAUACAUGCAAGUUGAGCGCUGAAGGUUGGUACUUGUACCAACUGGAUGAGCAGCGAACGGGUGAGUAACGCGUGGGUAAUCUGCCUUUGAGCGGGGGACAACAUUUGGAAACGAAUGCUAAUACCGCAUAAAAACUUUAAACACAAGUUUUAAGUUUGAAAGAUGCAAUUGCAUCACUCAAAGAUGAUCCCGCGUUGUAUUAGCUAGUUGGUGAGGUAAAGGCUCACCAAGGCGAUGAUACAUAGCCGACCUGAGAGGGUGAUCGGCCACAUUGGGACUGAGACACGGCCCAAACUCCUACGGGAGGCAGCAGUAGGGAAUCUUCGGCAAUGGACGAAAGGCUGAACGAGCAACGCCGCGUGAGUGAAGAAGGUUUUCGGAUCGUAAAACUCUGUUGGUAGAGAAGAACGUUGGUGAGAGUGGAAAGCGCAUCAAGUGACGGUAACUACACAGAAAGGGACGGCUAACUACGUG